RNAcentral lists this ribosomal RNA (496 nucleotides) under uncultured bacterium. RNAcentral's name for it is "bacterial SSU rRNA". It matches the Rfam family "Bacterial small subunit ribosomal RNA", at positions 31 to 518 of the family's 1533-position model. The record is from RNAcentral.
GAACGCUAGCUACAGGCUUAACACAUGCAAGUCGAGGGGCAGCGUUGGAGUAGCAAUACUCAGAUGGCGACCGGCGCACGGGUGAGUAACACGUAUCCAACCUGCCGCUUACUCGGGGAUAGCCUUUCGAAAGAAAGAUUAAUACCCGAUGGUAUAAAGAGUUCGCAUGUUCUCUUUAUUAAAGAAUUUCGGUAAGCGAUGGGGAUGCGUUCCAUUAGAUAGUUGGCGGGGUAACGGCCCACCAAGUCUACGAUGGAUAGGGGUUCUGAGAGGAAGGUCCCCCACAUUGGAACUGAGACACGGUCCAAACUCCUACGGGAGGCAGCAGUGAGGAAUAUUGGUCAAUGGACGAGAGUCUGAACCAGCCAAAAGUAGCGUGAAGGAUGACUGCCCUAUGGGUUGUAAACUUCUUUUAUAAGGGAAUAAAGUGAGGGACGUGUCCCUUUUUGUAUGUACCUUAUGAAUAAGGAUCGGCUAACUCCGUGCCAGCCGCCGC